GCGGGGCCUCCGCGCUGCGUGCAGUCGUUGGUAAGAGGAGUGGCGGACGGGUGAGUAACACGUGGGUAACCUACCCAUCAGAGGGGGAUAACACUUGGAAACAGGUGCUAAUACCGCAUAACAGUUUAUGCCGCAUGGCAUAAGAGUGAAAGGCGCUUUCGGGUGUCGCUGAUGGAUGGACCCGCGGUGCAUUAGCUAGUUGGUGAGGUAACGGCUCACCAAGGCCACGAUGCAUAGCCGACCUGAGAGGGUGAUCGGCCACACUGGGACUGAGACACGGCCCAGACUCCUACGGGAGGCAGCAGUAGGGAAUCUUCGGCAAUGGACGAAAGUCUGACCGAGCAACGCCGCGUGAGUGAAGAAGGUUUUCGGAUCGUAAAACUCUGUUGUUAGAGAAGAACAAGGACGUUAGUAACUGAACGUCCCCUGACGGUAUCUAACCAGAAAGCCACGGCUAACUACGUGCCAGCAGCCGCGGUAAUACGUAGGUGGCAAGCGUUGUCCGGAUUUAUUGGGCGUAAAGCGAGCGCAGGCGGUUUCUUAAGUCUGAUGUGAAAGACCCUGGCUUUUUCGGGGAGGGCCAUUGGAAACUGGGAGACUUGAGUGCAGAAUAGGAGAGCGGA
Molecule: ribosomal RNA, 623 nt
Filed under: Enterococcus faecium
Lineage: Bacteria; Bacillati; Bacillota; Bacilli; Lactobacillales; Enterococcaceae
Description: bacterial SSU rRNA
Rfam family: Bacterial small subunit ribosomal RNA
Source: RNAcentral